This 253-nucleotide ribosomal RNA is filed under the name uncultured bacterium. RNAcentral describes it as "partial 16S ribosomal RNA". It matches the Rfam family "Bacterial small subunit ribosomal RNA", at positions 524 to 776 of the family's 1533-position model. The record is from RNAcentral.
UACGGAGGGUGCAAGCGUUAUCCGGAUUCACUGGGUUUAAAGGGUGCGUAGGCGGGCAGGUAAGUCAGUGGUGAAAUCUCCGGGCUUAACCCGGAAACUGCCGUUGAUACUAUCUGUCUUGAAUACUGUGGAGGUCAGCGGAAUAUGUCAUGUAGCGGUGAAAUGCUUAGAUAUGACAUAGAACACCAAUUGCGAAGGCAGCUGGCUACACAAAUAUUGACACUGAGGCACGAAAGCGUGGGGAUCAAACAGG